Scylla paramamosain (green mud crab) is the source of this 1535-nucleotide long non-coding RNA. RefSeq lists it as uncharacterized. The record is from RefSeq and is a predicted model, not a curated record. The transcript has 4 exons. NCBI's taxonomy places the organism in Eukaryota, Metazoa, Arthropoda, Malacostraca, Decapoda, Portunidae.
CUUGCUGUUGACGUCCGGUGCUGUGUCGUCCCACAUUAAAUAAAGCAGCAGUUUAUGGCACCCUUUGAACACAAUGCCUUUCCGUCUGGCGUGUCUGGCGUCUGGUACUGUGUCAUCCCUCCCAGCCUGCUCCGCACAAUAGUAAUUGACGAACACAACACACCACGUGGAGAGAAGCAAGGUGUGGAGUACCCAAGCCUCUCACAGUCCAUGCUAGUAGACUCACCCUGCAUGUGGAGAUCUCCCAAAAUGCACGGAGGUUAUUCCAGAGCUGCAGGACAGAGUACUUGAGGCCAUUGGUGAACAGAAAGCUGAGGUUGAACAAAGCCAAGAAUUGAUAGCUGCCCAAGGUGUAAGCAAGAUUCACAAUGAUGAGGUCAUUGUGACGUGUGCAAUGUGUCCACUGGUCUUGGCCUUCCUGACCAAGGCAGCCACACAAAGGAAAUUCCACGUUAUUGUUGCCGAACGUGCCCCUAAAUAUGAUGCAAGGGUCACCCAGUGGCAAAAGCUUUAUGUACUGCUGGAAUUGAGACAACAUUAAUUCAAGACUCUGCAGUGUUCCCCAUCAUGUCACGUGUCAACAAGGUCAUCAAAGGUCAUCGUUGGCACCGAGACGGUGGUGACCAACGGAGGCAUUGAGACCUUUGUUGGUGCAGCCUCUCUUGCCUCACCACCAAAGUUUUAUUCUGUUUCAGUAAGUUUUAUUUGUUAGUCAUUAUCCUGAUACCUCUUUCAGUGGGGCAGUAUUUGAAACAUAUUUACUGUUGCAAAUUGAACAGGGAAGGUAUCACAAAAGUACAUACCAUUUUAUUCUCACAGAAAUUCUUGAUUCCAGUUUUUGAUACAUUCCUUUUCCACAUGUUUAUUUCGUGUAGGUGGAUAUACAUUCCUCGUGUUGAGUGUUGGAUGGUCCUUUCUCAAACCUCAACCUGUUGUUGUCUCAUGUGGAGCUAGAUACUAUCAGAUCAGUACCAUCAGAUCAGUCGGCGGUCCCGUUGAUGCCGGAUAAGAGGGAUUUUACUGUACCCUGUUUAUCUUGCACUUAGCUUUAAAUAAUGGCUGCUGACCAUUUAAAUCUCUUUUAUUUCAGUCGAGGUACUGCACCAUCCUACGUGUACCGGCAGCUUAGCAAACUGUACCGUCCCACUUCUUGUGAUCUCUAAGGUAACAGCUUUAAUCCUUGCAAAUAAGGAAUAAGAGAAAAGAGACACACCUGCCAUUUGUACUGUUAUGCUGUAGUGUUCUGUCAUUUUUUUCCUCUUUUAUCCUAGAACCAUUUUUGGUCAUUCAUGUUUCUAAAAAUUAUUAUACAAAAAUGUUGAGCUUAAUAUGUUUGGUGUAGUUUUUUGUAACAUGUGUUAUUAUUGUUAAUGUGUGUGGUUCCCCUCAGGAAGAAUGUUGCAGUAUUAGCAGUAAUGUUACAGCCAAUGGAAGUGUCUGUAUUGUGCUUUGGUGGGAGGUUAAUUUGAUGUAUUUUUAGAGUUGUGCAGGAUAUUAUAGCAAGCCCUCAAAAUAAAGAAAAUAACUAUAGAAAA